GUUAAGCGACUAAGCGUACACGGUGGAUGCCCUGGCAGUCAGAGGCGAUGAAGGACGUGCUAAUCUGCGAUAAGCGUCGGUAAGGUGAUAUGAACCGUUAUAACCGGCGAUUUCCGAAUGGGGAAACCCAGUGUGUUUCGACACACUAUCAUUAACUGAAUCCAUAGGUUAAUGAGGCGAACCGGGGGAACUGAAACAUCUAAGUACCCCGAGGAAAAGAAAUCAACCGAGAUUCCCCCAGUAGCGGCGAGCGAACGGGGAGCAGCCCAGAGCCUGAAUCAGUGUGUGUGUUAGUGGAAGCGUCUGGAAAGGCGCGCGAUACAGGGUGACAGCCCCGUACACAAAAAUGCACAUGCUGUGAGCUCGAUGAGUAGGGCGGGACACGUGGUAUCCUGUCUGAAUAUGGGGGGACCAUCCUCCAAGGCUAAAUACUCCUGACUGACCGAUAGUGAACCAGUACCGUGAGGGAAAGGCGAAAAGAACCCCGGCGAGGGGAGUGAAAAAGAACCUGAAACCGUGUACGUACAAGCAGUGGGAGCACGCUUAGGCGUGUGACUGCGUACCUUUUGUAUAAUGGGUCAGCGACUUAUAUUCUGUAGCAAGGUUAACCGAAUAGGGGAGCCGAAGGGAAACCGAGUCUUAACUGGGCGUUAAGUUGCAGGGUAUAGACCCGAAACCCGGUGAUCUAGCCAUGGGCAGGUUGAAGGUUGGGUAACACUAACUGGAGGACCGAACCGACUAAUGUUGAAAAAUUAGCGGAUGACUUGUGGCUGGGGGUGAAAGGCCAAUCAAACCGGGAGAUAGCUGGUUCUCCCCGAAAGCUAUUUAGGUAGCGCCUCGUGAAUUCAUCUCCGGGGGUAGAGCACUGUUUCGGCAAGGGGGUCAUCCCGACUUACCAACCCGAUGCAAACUGCGAAUACCGGAGAAUGUUAUCACGGG
RNAcentral lists this ribosomal RNA (939 nucleotides) under Escherichia coli. RNAcentral describes it as "partial 23S ribosomal RNA". It matches the Rfam family "Bacterial large subunit ribosomal RNA", at positions 1 to 981 of the family's 2925-position model. Lineage: Bacteria; Pseudomonadati; Pseudomonadota; Gammaproteobacteria; Enterobacterales; Enterobacteriaceae. The record is from RNAcentral.